This 625-nucleotide ribosomal RNA is filed under the name uncultured bacterium. RNAcentral describes it as "bacterial SSU rRNA". The stretch from base 1 to 542 matches the Rfam family "Bacterial small subunit ribosomal RNA", at positions 338 to 873 of the family's 1533-position model. The record is from RNAcentral.
CCUACGGGAGGCAGCAGUGGGGAAUUUUGGACAAUGGGCGCAAGCCUGAUCCAGCAAUGCCGCGUGCAGGAUGAAGGCCUUCGGGUUGUAAACUGCUUUUGUACGGAACGAAACGGUUCUCUUUAAUACAGGGGGCUAAUGACGGUACCGUAAGAAUAAGCACCGGCUAACUACGUGCCAGCAGCCGCGGUAAUACGUAGGGUGCGAGCGUUAAUCGGAAUUACUGGGCGUAAAGCGUGCGCAGGCGGUUAUAUAAGACAGAUGUGAAAUCCCCGGGCUCAACCUGGGACCUGCAUUUGUGACUGUAUAGCUAGAGUACGGUAGAGGGGGAUGGAAUUCCGCGUGUAGCAGUGAAAUGCGUAGAUAUGCGGAGGAACACCGAUGGCGAAGGCAAUCCCCUGGACCUGUACUGACGCUCAUGCACGAAAGCGUGGGGAGCAAACAGGAUUAGAUACCCUGGUAGUCCACGCCCUAAACGAUGUCAACUGGUUGUUGGGUCUUCACUGACUCAGUAACGAAGCUAACGCGUGAAGUUGACCGCCUGGGGGAGGACGGCCGCGAGUAGUAACGUACAAGUAGAGUUAGACGCGUGAGACGUAGACGACGACGACGACGAGGGAGGAGG